GUAUACCAAGGGGCGCGAGAUAACUCUCUCUAAGGAACUCGGCAAAAUAACCUCGUAACUUCGGAAGAAGAGGUACCCUUGAAAAAGGGUUGCAAUAACCAGACCCUGGCGACUGUUUAUCAAAAACACAGGUCUCCGCUAAUUCGUAAGAAAAAGUAUGGGGGCUGACGCCUGCCCAGUGCCGGAAGGUUAAAGAAGUUGGUUAGUCCUUGGACAAAGCUAGCGACUGAAGCCCCGGUGAACGGCGGCCGUAACGAUAACGGUCCUAAGGUAGCGAAAUUCCUUGUCGGGUAAGUUCCGACCCGCACGAAAGGCGUAACGAUCAGGGUACUGUCUCGGAGAGAGGCUCGGCGAAAUAGACAUGUCUGUGAAGAUGCGGACUACCUGCACCUGGUCAGAAAGACCCUAUGAAGCUUUACUGUAUCUUGGAAUUGGGUUUGGUCUUUGCAUGCGCAGUAUAGGUGGGAGGCUUUGAAGAUGAUCUUGCGGGGUCGUUGGAGCCACUGGUGAGAUACCACCCUUGCAAUGAUAAAAUCCUAACUUUGAACCGUUAUCCGGUCAAAGAACAGUUUCAGGUGGGCAGUUUGACUGGGGCGGUCGCCUCCUAAAAGGUAACGGAGGCGUGCAAAGGUUCCCUCAGGCUGGUUGGACAUCAGUCGUAGAGUGUAAAGGCAUAAGGGAGCUUGACUGCAAGACCAACAAGUCGAGCAGAGACGAAAGUCGGCCUUAGUGAUCCGGCGCUUCCGAGUGGAAGGGGCGUCGCUCAACGGAUAAAAGUUACUCUAAGGAUAACAGGCUGAUCUCCCCCAAGAGUUCACAUCGACGGGGAGGUUUGGCACCUCGAUGUCGGCUCAUCGCAUCCUGGGGCGGUAGUACGUCCCAAGGGUUGGGCUGUUCGCCCAUGAAAGCGGUACGCGAGCUGGGUUCAGAACGUCGUGAGACAGUUCGGUCCAUAUCCGGUGCAGGCGUUAGAGUAUUGCGAAGACUCCUCCUUAGUACGAGAGGACCGGGGGGAAUGCACCGCUGGUGUACCAGUUAUCGUGCCAACGGUAACGCUGGGUAGCCAAGUGCAGUUUGGAUAACUGCUGAAAGCAUCUAAGUAGGAAGCCAGCUUCAAGAUGAGUACUCUCACCGCUUCAAGCGGGUAAGAUCACGGCAAGAACAGCCGUUUGAUAGGCAUCAAGUGUAAGUGCAGUAAUGUAUUCAGCUGAGAUGUACUAAUAGAUCGAGGGCUUAGUA
Molecule: ribosomal RNA, 1239 nt
Filed under: metagenome
Description: bacterial LSU rRNA
Rfam family: Bacterial large subunit ribosomal RNA
Source: RNAcentral